Haliotis rubra (blacklip abalone) is the source of this 302-nucleotide long non-coding RNA. RefSeq lists it as uncharacterized. NCBI's taxonomy places the organism in Eukaryota, Metazoa, Mollusca, Gastropoda, Lepetellida, Haliotidae. The record is from RefSeq and is a predicted model, not a curated record. The transcript has 2 exons.
GGAUGUGUAGUCAGGCAGUUACACUCUAAACAUGCACCGGAUAGAUUACACUUCAAGUAUGUUAGUCACGUGUCAUCUGCCGGAAGUGACCUUUGUACCACAGGAGAAGGAAAUUAUUGUCCAGAAUGGACAUCUUCCCAAAGUGCUCUGUCUGUCAUCAGCAGUUUGUCCUCAAAGGCCCCGCCCCCUACCUACUGCCCUGUCUACACGCUGUGUGUGAGACGUGUGUGACAUCUGCAGCUGCUGGUGUGAUAUCAUGCUCUACUUGUCAGACGGAGGUCAACCUCACAGACACAAGCCUC